UAGUACGUGGUCCGGGGUUUGGGUGUUAACUCGGAGACAACCCUUAAUAAUACGGCACAUUGUGACCAAUAUUAUUUAAAGCGGCCCAUCCCAGAUUUAUAAUCCUGAUGUUAAACCCUGACUCGACAUCUCUCACAGCAUGAACCGUGAAGUUCAACCCAGGAAACUGCAAAAGCAGCAGGUUGUUAUUCUCCCUGCCGAGCUGUGCUAAUGAAGAUGGGAUGCAGAUGAGGGCGGAGGUCGCCUCUGUAGCAUUCGACCCCGGCGCCCGUAGCAUGCCACUCUGACUGCCACAGGUUGAAGUCACACCCAAGUUAAUUCUUCAAUUAGCGUGAGCCAGAUAUUCCGGGAAGAUCGGAGGGCCCGCCAAUCGAUGUCCAAUUAGCGAGGCUUCGUG
Oncorhynchus tshawytscha (Chinook salmon) is the source of this 397-nucleotide long non-coding RNA. RefSeq lists it as uncharacterized. Lineage: Eukaryota; Metazoa; Chordata; Actinopteri; Salmoniformes; Salmonidae. The record is from RefSeq and is a predicted model, not a curated record. The transcript is spliced from 3 exons.